RNAcentral lists this ribosomal RNA (375 nucleotides) under uncultured bacterium. RNAcentral describes it as "bacterial SSU rRNA". It matches the Rfam family "Bacterial small subunit ribosomal RNA", at positions 524 to 898 of the family's 1533-position model. The record is from RNAcentral.
UACGUAGGUGGCAAGCGUUGUCCGGAUUUACUGGGCGUAAAGGGAGCGUAGGCGGUCUGUCAAGUCGGAUGUGAAAUCCCCGGGCUCAACCUGGGAACUGCAUCCGAAACUGGCAGGCUAGAGUCUUGUAGAGGGGGGUAGAAUUCCAGGUGUAGCGGUGAAAUGCGUAGAGAUCUGGAGGAAUACCGGUGGCGAAGGCGGCCCCCUGGACAAAGACUGACGCUCAGGUGCGAAAGCGUGGGGAGCAAACAGGAUUAGAUACCCUGGUAGUCCACGCCGUAAACGAUGUCGACUUGGAGGUUGUGCCCUUGAGGCGUGGCUUCCGGAGCUAACGCGUUAAGUCGACCGCCUGGGGAGUACGGCCGCAAGGUUAAA